Molecule: transfer RNA, 71 nt
Filed under: Rickettsiales bacterium
Lineage: Bacteria; Pseudomonadati; Pseudomonadota; Alphaproteobacteria; Rickettsiales
Description: tRNA-Gly
Rfam family: tRNA
About the family: Transfer RNA (tRNA) molecules are approximately 80 nucleotides in length. Their secondary structure includes four short double-helical elements and three loops (D, anti-codon, and T loops). Further hydrogen bonds mediate the characteristic L-shaped molecular structure. tRNAs have two regions of fundamental functional importance: the anti-codon, which is responsible for specific mRNA codon recognition, and the 3' end, to which the tRNAs corresponding amino acid is attached (by aminoacyl-tRNA synthetases). tRNAs cope with the degeneracy of the genetic code in two manners: having more than one tRNA (with a specific anti-codon) for a particular amino acid; and 'wobble' base-pairing, i.e. permitting non-standard base-pairing at the 3rd anti-codon position.
Source: RNAcentral
GCAGAUGUAUAUUAACGGUAAAUAGUCUGUCUUCCAAACAGAAAAUAUGGGUUCGAUUCCCAUCAUCUGCA